CAGCCGCCGCGGGAAUACGAAGGGUGCAAGCGUUAAUCGGAAUUACUGGGCGUAAAGCGUGCGUAGGCGGUUUGUUAAGUCUGUUGUGAAAUCCCCGGGCUCAACCUGGGAAUGGCAAUGGACACUGGCAAGCUAGAGUGUGUCAGAGGAUGGUGGAAUUCCCGGUGUAGCGGUGAAAUGCGUAGAGAUCGGGAGGAACAUCAGUGGCGAAGGCGGCCAUCUGGGACAACACUGACGCUGAGGCACGAAAGCGUGGGGAGCAAACAGGAUUAGAUACCCCGGUAGUCCCUGUCUCUUUACC
Molecule: ribosomal RNA, 301 nt
Filed under: uncultured bacterium
Lineage: Bacteria
Description: partial 16S ribosomal RNA
Rfam family: Bacterial small subunit ribosomal RNA
Source: RNAcentral